CAGUCGCCGCGGUAAUACGAAGGGGGCUAGCGUUGCUCGGAAUUACUGGGCGUAAAGGGAGCGUAGGCGGACUGUUUAGUCAGAGGUGAAAGCCCAGGGCUCAACCUUGGAAUUGCCUUUGAUACUGGCAGUCUUGAGUACGGAAGAGGUAUGUGGAACUCCGAGUGUAGAGGUGAAAUUCGUAGAUAUUCGGAAGAACACCAGUGGCGAAGGCGACAUACUGGUCCGUUACUGACGCUGAGGCUCGAAAGCGUGGGGAGCAAACAGGAUUAGAUACCCGAGUAGUCCCUGUCUCUUAUAA
RNAcentral lists this ribosomal RNA (301 nucleotides) under uncultured bacterium. Its description in RNAcentral is "partial 16S ribosomal RNA". It matches the Rfam family "Bacterial small subunit ribosomal RNA", at positions 509 to 809 of the family's 1533-position model. The record is from RNAcentral.